GACGAACGCUGGCGGCGUGCUUAACACAUGCAAGUCGAACGGAAAGGCCCUGCUUUUGUGGGGUGCUCGAGUGGCGAACGGGUGAGUAACACGUGAGUAACCUGCCCUUGACUUUGGGAUAACUUCAGGAAACUGGGGCUAAUACCGGAUAGGAGCUCCUGCUGCAUGGUGGGGGUUGGAAAGUUUCGGCGGUUGGGGAUGGACUCGCGGCUUAUCAGCUUGUUGGUGGGGUAGUGGCUUACCAAGGCUGUGACGGGUAGCCGGCCUGAGAGCGUGACCGGCCACAUUAGGACUAAGAUACGGCGCAGACUCCAACGGGAGGCAGCAGUGGGAAAUAUGACACAAUGGGCGGAAGCCUGAUGCAACGACGCCGCGUGCGGGAUGACGGCCUUCGGGUUGUGAACCGCUUUCGCCUGUGACGAAGCGUGAGUGACGGUAAUGAGUAAAGAAGCACCGGCUAACUACGUG
This 468-nucleotide ribosomal RNA is filed under the name uncultured bacterium. RNAcentral describes it as "partial 16S ribosomal RNA". It matches the Rfam family "Bacterial small subunit ribosomal RNA", at positions 28 to 507 of the family's 1533-position model. The record is from RNAcentral.